This 433-nucleotide ribosomal RNA is filed under the name uncultured bacterium. Its description in RNAcentral is "partial 16S ribosomal RNA". It matches the Rfam family "Bacterial small subunit ribosomal RNA", at positions 29 to 507 of the family's 1533-position model. The record is from RNAcentral.
AACGAACGCUGGCGGCAUGCCUAACACAUGCAAGUCGAACGAGACCUUCGGGUCUAGUGGCGCACGGGUGCGUAACGCGUGGGAACCUGCCCUUAGGUUCGGAAUAACUCCCCGAAAGGGGUGCUAAUACCGGAUAAUGUCUUCGGACCAAAGAUUUAUCGCCUUUGGAUGGGCCCGCGUUGGAUUAGCUAGUUGGUAGUGUAAAAGCCUACCAAGGCGACGAUCCAUAGCUGGUCUGAUAGGAUGAUCAGCCACACUGGGACUGAGACACGGCCCAGACUCGUACGGGAGGCAGCAGUGGGGAAUAUUGGACGCUGGGCGAAAGCGUGAUACAGCAAUGCCGCGUGUGUGAUGAAGGCCUUAGGGUUGUAAAGCUCUUUUACCCGGGAUGAUAAUGACAGUACCGGGAGAAUAAGCACCGGCUAACUACGUG